UUUAUGGGAAAAAACUGAUUUCACUCUUUCAUUAUUUUCUGGCGUUUUUGAUCGUUUUCAACUGACUACAUUUUAUUUCUUGGUUGCCAAAAUAUUUUCCUCGUGCAGUCGUUACCUCUUUCUUGUGAGGAGAGGGCUUCUGCUUAAUCUAGUAAACCGUAGAUCUUAUCUUGUAUCUGGCAAAGUAAAUAGGCGAACGUGAAUGGAGGCAUGAUCUAAUUGUAAUUUGAGAAAAAUAUCACAGUCAGGAUGCAAAUCGUAGUUUUGAAGCGUAUAUUUUGGUGUUCAAUAAUCUUCGUUAACGUGACCGUUAUUUCAACAACGUUAACCUUACAAAACGAUCACACCAUGAAUUCUUCGACAUUGCAACCCAUGGAAAACAGCUUUAAAGGCUUUUCCGUGUCACAUAAAAUUCGUCAGUAUGAAAUGGAAGAUGUCGUGCUGUGUCUUGAUUCCUUGUUUAACGUCAAGAAGCAUUCCAUUCAUAUUGCUUUCCUUGGCGACUCUCUCAUCCGGAAUCAGUUCUUGAGCUUUACUUCGUUGAUUCCUAACUACGAUCGAAACCUGCCGCUCCACCUAAAAGAAUACGAGUCUCAUUUUCAUGAAAAUCGAAACAUGCACAGUCCACUUUUAAACGACCUACUAGUUUCUUUUCGAUGGCGAGCUUUAGUAAAUGACGAAUUGCUAACUGAUUUCAGAAUGUGGAAUAUGCAUACUGUAGAUGAUCAUGGAACACCGGAUUUCAUUUUUUUGGGAUCAACAGCUCACAAUAUGUUACAGAACAGUAAAAAGACAUACAUGGAAAAAAUAGAAACAGACUUGUUGCCAGUACUUCAAAAUUUUUUGAGAAUUCAUCCGAGGAAGCAAAUAUUUUGGGUAAUUCAAAGCCCAACAACAGAUAUGUUGAGACCCAUUUCUGGACCUAACAAUCAUAUUAUUCACAAUACAAAAAUUGAUCAAUACAAUUCUAUUAUACGUACGAUAUUCAAAGAAAAUUUCAAACAACGCUUAACAGCACUAAUAUUACAGGGGUACACGAAUUGCUGUAUGGGAUUCACUGCUUCCCGCCAUCGAGGAGUACAUACGCAGUUGCUUCCUCGGACAAUUUUACCAGUACGAUGUUAAUGGAUAUAAACUAUGUGAUGACUUUAUUCAUCCCGGACACCAAGUUCUAUCAAUGGGGAACAAAGCUGAAUACCUGAGGAUUAAAAUGUGACUGUCGUCGACUUUCCAAGGAAAAAAUUUAUGUCAAAAAGCCUGAGGCAACCGCAAAUUCACAAUUUUCGAAAUGACGUAUGAAAACACGUUUUCGUCUGCAGCUUCCACAGUUCUGCAUGGAAGGCCAUCAAAUUACACAUAAGACACCUUGAAGUCAUACUGUACACUACAGAAUUUUUUGUGGUUUUUUUUAAAGAAGGUGGCACUAAUUAAUGCCAUUUGGUCAACUUGCCCCUGGGACAACUAACCCCUGUCUCCCCUACUAUACAUAUGCAUGUAUAAUGCCUAUGCCGACAUGCCCCAUGUUGCAAUGUAUCAACUUGCCCCAACCCGGGGUUUAUUCAAAUAAAAAAUUUUAUUACUCCUUUA
Molecule: unclassified non-coding RNA, 1587 nt
Filed under: Daphnia magna
Lineage: Eukaryota; Metazoa; Arthropoda; Branchiopoda; Diplostraca; Daphniidae
Description: uncharacterized LOC116933792, transcript variant X7
Source: RNAcentral